GCCAGGCAUGGUGGCACAUGCCUAUAGUCCCAGCUACUCGGGAGGCUGAGGCUGGAGGAUCGCUUGAGCCCAGGAAUUCUGGGCUGCAGUGCACUAUGCCGAUCGGGCGUCUGCACUAAGUUCGGCAUCAAUAUGGUGACCUCCCAGGAGUGGGGGACCAUCAUGUUGCCUAAGGAGGGGUGAACCGGCCCAGGUCAGAAACGGAGCAGGUCAAAACUCCUGUCCUGAUCAGUAGUGGGAUCGCGCCCGUGAAUAGCCACUGCACUCCAGCCUGGGCAACACAGCAAGACCCAGUCUCUA
Molecule: unclassified non-coding RNA, 300 nt
Organism: Callithrix jacchus (white-tufted-ear marmoset)
Lineage: Eukaryota; Metazoa; Chordata; Mammalia; Primates; Cebidae
Rfam family: Metazoan signal recognition particle RNA
About the family: The signal recognition particle (SRP) is a universally conserved ribonucleoprotein. It is involved in the co-translational targeting of proteins to membranes. The eukaryotic SRP consists of a 300-nucleotide 7S RNA and six proteins: SRPs 72, 68, 54, 19, 14, and 9.
Source: Ensembl